GAUGAAGAACGCAGCGAAAUGCGAUAAGUAAUGUGAAUUGCAGAAUUCAGUGAAUCAUCGAAUCUUUGAACGCACAUUGCGCCCGCCAGUAUUCUGGCGGGCAUGCCUGUCCGAGCGUCAUUUCAACCAUCAAGCCCCCGGGCUUGUGUUGGGGACCUGCGGCUGCCCGCAGGCCCUGAAAACCAGUGGCGGGCUCGCUGUCACACCGAGCGUAGUAGCAAUCACCUCGCUCAGGGCGUGCUGCGGGUUCCGGCCGUUAAACAGCCUUACAAAACCCAAGGUUGACCUCGGAUCAGGUAGGAAGACCCGCUGAACUUAAGCAUAUCAAUAGCGGAGGA
Molecule: unclassified non-coding RNA, 338 nt
Filed under: soil metagenome
Description: partial contains 5.8S ribosomal RNA, internal transcribed spacer 2, and large subunit ribosomal RNA
Rfam family: 5.8S ribosomal RNA (bases 1-120)
Source: RNAcentral